UACGUAGGUGGCAAGCGUUGUCCGGAAUUAUUGGGCGUAAAGCGCGCGCAGGCGGCCUCUUAAGUCUGAUGUGAAAGCCCCCGGCUCAACCGGGGAGGGCCAUUGGAAACUGGGAGGCUUGAGUAUAGGAGAGAAGAGUGGAAUUCCACGUGUGGCGGUGAAAUGCGUAGAGAUGUGGAGGAACACCAGUGGCGAAGGCGACUCUUUGGCCUAUAACUGACGCUGAGGCGCGAAAGCGUGGGGAGCAAACAGG
RNAcentral lists this ribosomal RNA (253 nucleotides) under uncultured bacterium. Its description in RNAcentral is "partial 16S ribosomal RNA". It matches the Rfam family "Bacterial small subunit ribosomal RNA", at positions 524 to 776 of the family's 1533-position model. The record is from RNAcentral.